AAAUAUGUAAAUCAGGGCUGCGGCCAUGGGCUCUCCAGCUGCAUGCCCCAGCAAUGUGGAGAGACUUUGACAGCUCGGGUCAGCCCAGUACCUGCAGCUGUCACUCGCCUUUCCUAUAGAC
Nannospalax galili (Upper Galilee mountains blind mole rat) is the source of this 121-nucleotide small nucleolar RNA. Lineage: Eukaryota; Metazoa; Chordata; Mammalia; Rodentia; Spalacidae. The record is from Ensembl.